GGGAACCUCACCCGGCCCGGACACCGCGAGGAUUGACAGACUGAGAGCUCUUUCUCGAUUCGGUGGGUGGUGGUGCAUGGCCGUUCUUAGUUGGUGGAGCGAUCUGUCUGGUUAAUUCCGAUAACGAACGAGACCCCAACCUGCUAACUAGCCCUCGGGUCCUGCUUCUGUUGGGCCCGACGGAAUGAUUCGCUUCUAGAGGGACUCGCGGCGCCUAGCCGCACGAAGGGGGGCGAUAA
RNAcentral lists this ribosomal RNA (239 nucleotides) under uncultured eukaryote. Its description in RNAcentral is "partial 18S ribosomal RNA". It matches the Rfam family "Eukaryotic small subunit ribosomal RNA", at positions 1208 to 1456 of the family's 1831-position model. The record is from RNAcentral.